CUAGGUCAGAGAGUCAUUCAGUGGUGGACAGAGGAUGAGGACGCCUCACGGCUAGGUCAGAGAGUCAUUCAGUGGUGGACAGAGGAUGAGGACGCCUCACGGCUAGGUCAGAGAGUCAUUCAGUGGUGGACAGAGGAUGAGGACGCCUCACGGCUAGGUCAGAGAGUCAUUCAGUGGUGGACAGAGGAUGAGGACGCCUCACGGCUAGGUCAGAGAGUCAUUCAGUGGUGGACAGAGGAUGAGGACGCCUCACGGCUAGGUCAGAGAGUCAUUCAGUGGUGGACAGAGGAUGAGGACGCCUCACGGCUAGGUCAGAGAGUCAUUCAGUGGUGGA
Non-coding RNA from Oncorhynchus mykiss (rainbow trout), 334 nucleotides. The record is from RefSeq and is a predicted model, not a curated record. Lineage: Eukaryota; Metazoa; Chordata; Actinopteri; Salmoniformes; Salmonidae.